UGAGAGCAGGAAAAAUAGUGUGCGCUUCUAUCUGGUACGAAAUGACUUCUUCCCUUCUAAGGUAAGUCUUUUUUCCUUUAUUUUGAGAUGAUUAACUCUUCCUUUCAGCUACUCACUCAUUUCCCCUUCACCCAAUACAAAAUCCUUCUUCCAACUUCAACUGAAGCUCCUUCUACAACUAAAAUUGAGCCAGGACAUACUAUUUGAGGUAAACACCUUUUUACUCUUCGAUUCUUGUUCUUUUCCAUUCUUCUCUUGAUUUAUAAAUUUAGAAUAGUUUUUGUAGGCCUUAAGUUGAGUUUAAAUCAAAUUCAUGCAGUUAAAAAUAACCCGAAAUCCACAAAUUCAACUUAAAAACACGACUGACACAACAACAGCUACACAAUGUUGUCAUAUUUCUAAUGCCCUUAUGUUCAUACAUUUUGAUAUAUUAGAGUGUCUACAAUGAGGUAAGAUUAGUGGUAAUUAGUUUUUACAAGCAUUCGGUUUUAUAGAUGCAUUUAGAUGAGUUAAAUCUUUGAAAAAUGUGUGAAUGUUUACUAUUUUAGUUGAUGUAGAGUGUCUUGUGUUGGUUGCAUGAUUUUGAUGAUUUAAUCAUGUUUUUGUUUAUGUUUUUUUAUGAGUUUUGAUGCCCGGAUAAUUUAUGAUGAAUUGGAAUGAAUUUCAGAUAAUAAAUGAAAGAAAAAAAUGGAAAAGGAAUAGCAAACAGAGGCUAGAUUCCUCUAUCUGUGAUGUCCAAGCACUAAUGUGCCAGCAAAGGGGGCAGGCAUGGGUGAUCGUGCAUGAUGGUGCAUGCGAGACACUGUACAAAUGCCCCUGCUGCACCAAGAGGGCCCGCAUGAGGCACUGUGUGUGUGGAGUGAUAUGGUGCAUGUGCACAAGGAUGUAGACCUAGGCACCCACAACAUUGAGGCGUGUGCCCCACUGCCAUACUGCAGCACACACCAAGUCGUGCGGGGCAUGGAGCGCUAUUAAGCGUGCACAUGCUGAAAGCACCAUCGGCCAAGGCACCUUGUGCCGCGGGUACAGGCUUACAAGAAUUUAUCCCCCUAUCACGGAUUCGAGGACAAAUUGCUCAAAAUGUCAAAAAGAACGAAUUUUUGUAAUUUAAAAUUAAGUUUUGAAUUUUGAAAAUGGUAAAAUAAGAGAUUCAAAAUUAAAAAAGGAAAUUUACAAUUAAAAUAUGAAUUUUGAAUACAGCAAGAAAUAAGGAA
RNAcentral lists this long non-coding RNA (1214 nucleotides) under Carica papaya (papaya). RNAcentral describes it as "long non-coding RNA (CPAP_LNC007073)". The record is from RNAcentral. Lineage: Eukaryota; Viridiplantae; Streptophyta; Magnoliopsida; Brassicales; Caricaceae.